GACGAACGCUGGCGGCGUGCCUAAUACAUGCAAGUCGAACGAACUCUGGUAUUGAUUGGUGCUUGCAUCAUGAUUUACAUUUGAGUGAGUGGCGAACUGGUGAGUAACACGUGGGAAACCUGCCCAGAAGCGGGGGAUAACACCUGGAAACAGAUGCUAAUACCGCAUAACAACUUGGACCGCAUGGUCCGAGUUUGAAAGAUGGCUUCGGCUAUCACUUUUGGAUGGUCCCGCGGCGUAUUAGCUAGAUGGUGAGGUAACGGCUCACCAUGGCAAUGAUACGUAGCCGACCUGAGAGGGUAAUCGGCCACAUUGGGACUGAGACACGGCCCAAACUCCUACGGGAGGCAGCAGUAGGGAAUCUUCCACAAUGGACGAAAGUCUGAUGGAGCAACGCCGCGUGAGUGAAGAAGGGUUUCGGCUCGUAAAACUCUGUUGUUAAAGAAGAACAUAUCUGAGAGUAACUGUUCAGGUAUUGACGGUAUUUAACCAGAAAGCCACGGCUAACUACGUGCCAGCAGCCGCGGUAAUACGUAGGUGGCAAGCGUUGUCCGGAUUUAUUGGGCGUAAAGCGAGCGCAGGCGGUUUUUUAAGUCUGAUGUGAAAGCCUUCGGCUCAACCGAAGAAGUGCAUCGGAAACUGGGAAACUUGAGUGCAGAAGAGGACAGUGGAACUCCAUGUGUAGCGGUGAAAUGCGUAGAUAUAUGGAAGAACACCAGUGGCGAAGGCGGCUGUCUGGUCUGUAACUGACGCUGAGGCUCGAAAGUAUGGGUAGCAAACAGGAUUAGAUACCCUGGUAGUCCAUACCGUAAACGAUGAAUGCUAAGUGUUGGAGGGUUUCCGCCCUUCAGUGCUGCAGCUAACGCAUUAAGCAUUCCGCCUGGGGAGUACGGCCGCAAGGCUGAAACUCAAAGGAAUUGACGGGGGCCCGCACAAGCGGUGGAGCAUGUGGUUUAAUUCGAAGCUACGCGAAGAACCUUACCAGGUCUUGACAUACUAUGCAAAUCUAAGAGAUUAGACGUUCCCUUCGGGGACAUGGAUACAGGUGGUGCAUGGUUGUCGUCAGCUCGUGUCGUGAGAUGUUGGGUUAAGUCCCGCAACGAGCGCAACCCUUAUUAUCAGUUGCCAGCAUUAAGUUGGGCACUCUGGUGAGACUGCCGGUGACAAACCGGAGGAAGGUGGGGAUGACGUCAAAUCAUCAUGCCCCUUAUGGCCUGGGCUACACACGUGCUACAAUGGAUGGUACAACGAGUUGCGAACUCGCGAGAGUAAGCUAAUCUCUUAAAGCCAUUCUCAGUUCGGAUUGUAGGCUGCAACUCGCCUACAUGAAGUCGGAAUCGCUAGUAAUCGCGGAUCAGCAUGCCGCGGUGAAUACGUUCCCGGGCCUUGUACACACCGCCCGUCACACCAUGAGAGUUUGUAACACCCAAAGUCGGUGGGGUAACCUUUUAGGAACCAGCCGCCUAAGGUGGGACAGAUGAUUAGGGUG
This 1489-nucleotide ribosomal RNA is filed under the name Lactiplantibacillus plantarum. Its description in RNAcentral is "bacterial SSU rRNA". It matches the Rfam family "Bacterial small subunit ribosomal RNA". Lineage: Bacteria; Bacillati; Bacillota; Bacilli; Lactobacillales; Lactobacillaceae. The record is from RNAcentral.